Molecule: transfer RNA, 530 nt
Filed under: uncultured Prochlorococcus sp.
Lineage: Bacteria; Bacillati; Cyanobacteriota; Cyanophyceae; Synechococcales; Prochlorococcaceae
Description: partial 16S-23S ribosomal RNA intergenic spacer
Rfam family: tRNA (bases 212-284)
Source: RNAcentral
CAGGGAGACAACAAAAUGUUUAAUAUUAUUAUUUUGUCACCUUAGGUCGAUCGGUAUCUCACAUUCUUAAUUUAUUAAGAAUUUCAAUUCCUAAGUUUUUCUAGGUCACACCCAUUAUUUUUCCUGGGCCAUUAGCUCAGGUGGUUAGAGCGCACCCCUGAUAAGGGUGAGGUCCCUGGUUCAAGUCCAGGAUGGCCCAUAUCUCUAUGUUGGGGGUAUAGCUCAGUUGGUAGAGCGCCUGCUUUGCAAGCAGGAUGUCAGCGGUUCGAGUCCGCUUACCUCCACUGAUUACCACCUCUUCCAUAAUCUGGAGAAAGGAAAUGUUUUGAGUUGUGAUCAAAUACUGAACGAAUCUAGCUUCCUAAUGAAGUCAUUAAGAUGCUGGACUCAUUGAAUUAAUUUCAUUGUUUUCAGAGAACCUUGACAACUGCAUAGAUUAUUUUUUUUAAAGACAAUAAGCAUCUUUAAUGAUGCAGAUUUAUUAUUUGUGCGAACGCACUAAUAACAAUUCUAUUAAGCUGAUGCUUCAA